Molecule: long non-coding RNA, 3604 nt
Organism: Sander lucioperca (pikeperch)
Lineage: Eukaryota; Metazoa; Chordata; Actinopteri; Perciformes; Percidae
Source: Ensembl
CUAAAUGAAUGUUUUCUUGAUGUUAACAUACAUUCUUCAUAUGUGGAACUUUGUCUUCGUGUUUUCAGAUGAGUGCAGUGAGCCGUCCCUCGUUCUCUGACAUCGUCUUCACAUUUGAGGGCAUGGACAGAGAAGAAGAGAGAAAGAAGCCCAUUGCACUCGAGGCAGUGGCAGCAGACGUCAGCCCGUACCGGUGCCACAGCUCUCCUUGUCACCCGGGUGACCGCAGCCAGCAACGGCAGGGCUUAGCGAGGAGCCAAUCGGACACGUUAUCCCCGGGCACCCAGACGCCUCUUCUCCUCGGGACCCCUGUGCGGGUCAACCCCUUCUCUCUCAGACAGGACCUGAAUGGGGGGCGGUGUAAACUCUUAGACACACCUAGCAAGUCCGUCAUCUCCCUGACAUUUACCCUCCCGGCGCUUCGCGACCCUUGCUCCUCCCCCCACCUUCUCCGAGGGAUGCCAGGGACGCGAGCGCUGCCGAGGAGGUGCCAGUCGCUCCCCUGUACUCCAGAGCUCAGCUGGACUGUAGCCUUGCCAAGAGACCCGGAGGGGAAGGAGGAGGAAAAGGAUGAAGAAGACAACAGAGUGGCGAUUACAAGAGGGACAGUGGAGGAUGUGGGGGACCACAUGAGGAAGAAGACAGGGGCGUCAGAGGAGGCAGAUGAGAGGUUACAGGUAGAGCAAAUGGAGAUAACUGCCAAGAGAGAGUUGUUAACGGAGGAGGAUGGGAUGGAAGAGGAUUCAUGUCUUUCUGUGGAGCUGGAGAUGGUGUCUCUGGAGCGGUUAGAGGAAGAGGAGGAAGAGGAGGCACAUCUAACAGAACCCAUGGACUGUACCAAGUCUCCUGAGCCAGCAGAGAGAGUCAUUGACUCCUCACCUGGAAGACCCCUGCUCACCUCCACUUGCUCCUCCUCCUUACAGACCAAUGGCUGGCGACUCCCCAUCUCCAACGGACCGCGCACAUUGCCUGCUCUGCCACGACUGGACAACAACAACGGCUCAGCCCUUGUGAUUGGUCAGCAGGUGCGGUGGGGUGGAGGAGAGCGUGCGAAUGGUUACAGCGGCUCCCAGCUCCAGUCCUCUGGCCCUAGCGGCACCUCUGAGCAGGAUGAGGUCAUUUCCUGUCCAGGCUGCUGUCUGGUGGGUCUGAGUUUCCCCUUUGUGUGCCUCCGGGGUUCAACUGCUGUGCCCGCCCCCCACCAAAGGGCUUCGUUACCACGGCGACUCUACCAGAACCUCAACGGUACCAUAACCGGUGGCAGCGCUUCCUCGUCAACCACAGCCGCCCCAGCAACCAAAGCUCUACUGUGUCGAAGCACAAAUGGACUCGUAGUGGGUGGGCCCUCGGUGCCAUGUGAGCCUGGCCGGUCCCUGCCGGAGGCCCAGAGAUAAGCCUGCUGACGGGGGAUGCACCAGCACUACAUUUUAGAGGACAAACUUAGUAACACUAAGGGCACUUUCACACCUGUAGUUCGGUAGACUCGGUGCAAUUCGGGGGUGAAGUUGCAACGUUGUUGCAUUUUUCAUUUGGUUCGGUUUGCGUUCAGACUGCACUUUGUCAGGCGCACCAAACGUUAACAAAUGUCACACGGUUGAAACGGUCGCUGGUCUAUUGGACAGAAUAUCAGAGUGACAGUGUUUUUUAAAUGGGGGUACUAGUACCCAUAGAGGUACUUUGGAGUACUGCAGAGGUAUGUGAGAUUUUUUUUAAAUGUUAAUAAAAUAUCAGUCAUGCCUAAUUCCUAAAAUAAUUAAACUAUAAUAAUGAAUUCUUUAAGUGGAACAUUCAGCAUUUGAAAUGUAGCAUUUAAGUGUUUUUUAGUUACAAGACACUGAUGGUUCAGCACUAUGUACCUCUUUAUUUAGGCCUUUUUCUACCAAAAUAGUUUGCACUGGUCAGGGGGUACUUGGCUAAAAAGAUAUUUCAAAGGAGGGUUGGGGGGGUCCAUUAUUGACAAAAGUUGGAGAACCACUGUUUUAGAAGAAGGCGAACAAUAUGAGCAGCUGACAGACAGCGAGGGAAGGAGAUGGCGGGCCCUGAUGAGAGAGAGAUGAUGAUGUGUUGUCACCCAGACGAUGAGCAAUAUGUGGUCAUAAUAAGUUAUGGAUUUGAAAUGUAUCUUAGCUUAAACCAUCUAUUUUAUUCUAUAUAUUUCAACUCUGCACACAAUUUAUGGAGUUCAUAAAUUGUGUGCAAAGUUGAAAUUGCAGGCUACUUUGUGCACUAUUUUUAGUUUACAUCCUACAUUUGGGUCAGAUAUCAUUCUCAGCUAAAGGGAACUGAACUCUAGUGCACUUGGAAGGGAACCGAGACCUCCUUCAAGCAGAACAAAGUUUUUGGUCAGCACCAAAGUUCCAACGGCCUUUCACACCAACCCAAACGAACCGGAUUAUCCAACGAAACGCUCCAGGGUUGGGUCAAAACGGACCAAACAGCUGAGGUGUAAAGUCACCCUAAAUGUUGCUUCGCAAAUACUGAGAACCCAAUACUGAGAACCCAAUACUGAGCCCAGCAUCUGUGUGUGUUAAUAAUUCUGUGCAGUCCCAGCAAACAGUGGUAGGUUGGUGGUUAAAGUGCCACCGCACUCAUGCGUAAAGGGUCAACUACAGAACAUUCCUGGAAUUUACACCAAUGUUGGGUAGAAAGAUGGCUGUGCAUAUUGCUGGUGUUUCCACUCUUACUUGGAAUUAUCAUUUUACAGACAUUAGACACACUUUUGUUUCUUCGUGAAAUGAAGCCAUGCUUUGGACCAUUUCUUCCUUUCCACCAUGACUCCCUCAGUGUAGUGGCAUAGAUGCAUGAGUUUGGCGUCAUUGUUUUGCAAUGGGCAACUGACAGAAAACAUUCCAGCCUUGAUAAAAGGAAUUGGAACCAGUUCUAGAUUCCCAUCCCUAGGCCCACUACUGAUGGACCACUGCACUGUUAAGCCCAGGUUUCAAUAUGGAGUUAACACAAACAUGGGAAGCACAGUGUGCAGGUCCAAACCAUAUUUAAAAUUGAUUCUAUUUAAUUAAUGGAACAAUAACUACAGAGGGAAUAUUUAUAUAAUAUAUCAAGAUGAUUUACUUCCUAAAUGUGUGUGUGUGUGUGUGUGUGUGUGUGUGUGUGUGUGUGUGUGUGUGUGUAAGCUGAUAUCUGUUGCUUGGGGGACUUAAAGGAAGAAACUCUUGGGCUUGUCAUGUAAAUUAUUUUGCACUUGCAGGAAGACACCAGGCUUUUAUUUAAUGGUGCUUUAUUUAAAUGUGUGUGUGUGUGUGUGUGUGUGUGUGUGUGUGUGUGUGUGUGUGUGUGUGUGUGUGUGUGUGUGUGUGUGUGUGUGUGUACUUCUGGCCCAACAAAUUAAACACCAUUCACCCUUUGAUCAUCUUGUGUGUGGAAAUGUGCAUUUUGAUCACACUGUUGUAACUUAAAAAUGGUAUGUGGAGCAGGUAUGCAUAUUUAUUGUACAGAAUACAGAUCAUUCCACACACUGUGUGUGUAUGUGCUUUUGAGCGAAGGGUAGAGUGAUGGAUACUUGCAGGAUAACCUUUAUCCCUUCAUUUCUGAUGUUAAACCAUGAUUUUUCGCUUCAUUUCUAUGUUUGUUCUUCUAUACAACUGCG